Molecule: long non-coding RNA, 706 nt
Filed under: Pan troglodytes (chimpanzee)
Lineage: Eukaryota; Metazoa; Chordata; Mammalia; Primates; Hominidae
Description: lincRNA
Source: RNAcentral
CACAGAGAGCGGUUUGAUAUGUCACUGAAACCAGCAUCCAGGUGGUAUUGCUCCAUAUGCCUGAGACCCUAACAAAAGCCUAAUUACAACUCAUAUGCCUGGAGCCAGGACAUGUGCAAGAUGCCAUGAUGGUCCAAGUUAUAUUGGGAUUCAGCCAAUAGAAGAUAUUUUGCCUGUCAUCCCUAAGCUUAGGGCAAUAGACUCUGCCAAGAGAGGGGAUUAUUACAUAUUGCAGAGCCCAGCACCUAGGUGGAGUGACUCUCAUCUUUUUCUUCUACCCCGUAUAUAGCCAGCUUGGUGACCUACUAUUUGAGGCUAUACCCAGGCCCAGACCACAGAUGAAAUUGUGCAAUAUGUGGAACAAACACCUAAACAAUAUAUAACACCUUCCUUGGCUCUGUCUACAAAGGGCAGUUUUAUAUAUCACUGGGACCAUCAACCAGGUGAUGUUGUGCCAUAUAACUGAGACUGUAACAAAAGCCUAAUAACAAGACGUAUGUCUGGAGCCCCGAUAUGCACAGGAUGGUGAUAUAACCCUCUUCUCUGGAAUGGGCCCCACGCAAAGGAAGGAUAGUGACAUAUUGCAAGCCCAGGCACACAGGCCCAGAGCACAGUUGAAAUUGUGACAUAUGUACACCAAGCAACCAAGCAAUGUAUAACACCUCAUUUGGCAAUGGAAUCGAGGGCACUUUUACAUAUCACUGAG